Molecule: ribosomal RNA, 254 nt
Filed under: uncultured bacterium
Lineage: Bacteria
Description: partial 16S ribosomal RNA
Rfam family: Bacterial small subunit ribosomal RNA
Source: RNAcentral
UACGUAGGGGGCGAGCGUUGUCCGGAUUUAUUGGGCGUAAAGAGCUCGUAGGCGGUUUGGCAAGUCGGGUGUGAAAACUCCGGGCUCAACUCGGAGACGCCACUCGAUACUGCUAUGACUCGAGUCCGGUAGGGGAGUGCGGAAUUCCUGGUGUAGCGGUGAAAUGCGUAGAUAUCUGGAGGAACACCGGUGGCGAAGGCGGUUCUCUGGGACGGUACUGACGCUGAGACGCGAAAGCGUGGGGAGCGAACAGG